GAUGGCUUCUUCUAACCCUCUCUCUUCACAACCUAUUUUUACUACCUCUGAAAUCCCUCCUUCAACCACCAGAACCUCCCAACCUUCACCAGUUCUAAAUGUAGCCCGUACUUUCAUACCUCCCUCUAAACCUGCACAAACCCACCAAAGCACUUCAUCUUCAUCAUCCUCAGAACCAGAAUCACCCCCAUAUGUUUCCCUCUCUUCUGACCCAGAAUUUUCUGACCCUGAUUCCCCAACCAUAGCCACAAUUUACGCUCAUAAACUUGCUUCACAACAACAAACACAAACACAAUCUGAAGCAACUUCACCUCCACCACAACAAACAACCACCAUACCUUCUGAAACUCAACCCU
RNAcentral lists this long non-coding RNA (356 nucleotides) under Lathyrus oleraceus (garden pea). RNAcentral's name for it is "Pisum sativum (pea) long non-coding RNA (PSAT_LNC022141)". The record is from RNAcentral. Lineage: Eukaryota; Viridiplantae; Streptophyta; Magnoliopsida; Fabales; Fabaceae.